This 447-nucleotide ribosomal RNA is filed under the name uncultured bacterium. RNAcentral describes it as "bacterial SSU rRNA". It matches the Rfam family "Bacterial small subunit ribosomal RNA", at positions 360 to 793 of the family's 1533-position model. The record is from RNAcentral.
AAUAUUGCACAAUGGGCGCAAGCCUGAUGCAGCCGAUGCCGCGUGUAUGAAGAAGGCCUUCGGGUUGUAAAGUACUUUCAGCAGUGAGGAAGGUGGGUAUGUUAAUAGCAUAUUCAUUUGACGUUAGCUGCAGAAGAAGCACCGGCUAACUCCGUGCCAGCAGCCGACGGUAAUACGGGAGGGUGCGAGCGUUAAUCGGAAUUACUGGGACGUAAAGCGCAUGCAGGUGGUUUGUUAAGUCAGAUGUGAAAGCCCGGGGCUCAACCUCGGUAAUUGCAUUUAGAAACUGGACAAACUAGAGUACUGUAGAGGGGGUAGAAUUUCAGGUGUAGCGGUGAAAUGCGUAGAGAUCUGAAGGAAUACCGGUGGCGAAGGCGGCCCCCUGGACAGAUACUGACACUCAGAUGCGAAAGCGUGGGGAGCAAACAGGAUUAGAUACCCUGGUAG